UGGGGAAUAUUGCACAAUGGGCGCAAGCCUGAUGCAGCAACGCCGCGUGAAGGAUGAAGGCCUUCGGGUUGUAAACUUCUGUCCUAGGGGAAGAAACAAAUGACAUUACCCUUGGAGGAAGCCCCGGCUAACUACGUGCCACCACCCGCUGUAAUUAGUGGGGGGGGGGGUCUUUUUUCGAAUAUNUGGGCGAUAAAGAGUGCGUAGGUGGCACCUUAAGCGCAGGGUUUAAGGCAAUGGCUCAACCAUUGUUCGCCUUGCGAACUGGGGUGCUUGAGUGCAGGAGGGGAAAGUGGAAUUCCUAGUGUAGCGGUGAAAUGCGUAGAUAUUAGGAGGAACACCAGUGGCGAAGGCGACUUUCUGGACUGUUACUGACACUGAGGCACGAAAGCGUGGGGAGCAAACAGGAUUAGAUACCCUGGUAGUCCACGCCGUAAACGAUGAGCACUAGGUGUCGGGGUCGCAAGACUUCGGUGCCGCAGUUAACGCAUUAAGUGCUCCGCCUGGGGAGUACGCACGCAAGUGUA
RNAcentral lists this ribosomal RNA (527 nucleotides) under uncultured bacterium. RNAcentral describes it as "bacterial SSU rRNA". It matches the Rfam family "Bacterial small subunit ribosomal RNA", at positions 355 to 896 of the family's 1533-position model. The record is from RNAcentral.